RNAcentral lists this ribosomal RNA (205 nucleotides) under uncultured bacterium. Its description in RNAcentral is "partial 16S ribosomal RNA". It matches the Rfam family "Bacterial small subunit ribosomal RNA", at positions 523 to 728 of the family's 1533-position model. The record is from RNAcentral.
GUACGGAGGGUGCAAGCGUUAUCCGGAUUUACUGGGUUUAAAAGGGUGUGUAGGCGGGCUUUUAAGUCAGUGGUGAAAUCUCCGGGCUCAACCCGGAAACUGCCAUUGAUACUAUUAGUCUUGAAUUUGUUGAGGUAGGCGAAUAAGUCAUGUAGCGGUGAAAUGCUUAGAUAUGACUUAGAACACCAAUUGCGAAGGCAGCUGC